UACGUAGGGGGCAAGCGUUGUCCGGAUUUACUGGGCGUAAAGGAUGCGUAGGCGGCCAUUUAAGUCAGAUGUGAAAUACCCGAGCUUAACUUGGGUGCUGCAUUUGAAACUGGGUGUCUAGAGUGCAGGAGAGGUAAGUGGAAUUCCUAGUGUAGCGGUGAAAUGCGUAGAGAUUAGGAAGAACACCAGUGGCGAAGGCGACUUACUGGACUGUAACUGACGCUGAGGCAUGAAAGCGUGGGGAGCAAACAGG
This 253-nucleotide ribosomal RNA is filed under the name uncultured bacterium. RNAcentral describes it as "partial 16S ribosomal RNA". It matches the Rfam family "Bacterial small subunit ribosomal RNA", at positions 524 to 776 of the family's 1533-position model. The record is from RNAcentral.